Molecule: ribosomal RNA, 454 nt
Filed under: uncultured bacterium
Lineage: Bacteria
Description: partial 16S ribosomal RNA
Rfam family: Bacterial small subunit ribosomal RNA
Source: RNAcentral
GAUGAACGCUGACAGAAUGCUUAACACAUGCAAGUCAACUUGAACUUCGGUUUGGGUGGCGGACGGGUGAGUAACGCGUAAAGAACUUGCCUCACAGCUAGGGACAACAUUUGGAAACGAAUGCUAAUACCUGAUAUUAUGAUUUUAGGGCAUCCUAGAAUUAUGAAAGCUAUAUGCGCUGUGAGAGAGCUUUGCGUCCCAUUAGCUAGUUGGAGAGGUAACGGCUCACCAAGGCGAUGAUGGGUAGCCGGCCUGAGAGGGUGAACGGCCACAAGGGGACUGAGACACGGCCCUUACUCCUACGGGAGGCAGCAGUGGGGAAUAUGGGACAAUGGACCAAGAGUCUGAUCAAGCAAUUCUGUGUGCACGAUGAAGUUUUUCGGAAUGUAAAGUGCUUUCAGUUGGGAAGAAAAAAAUGACGGUACCAACAGAAGAAGUGACGGCUAAAUACGUG